CUAAGAAUAUUCCGCAAUGGACGGAAGUCUGACGGAGCGACGCCGCGUGGAUGACGAAGGCCGAAAGGUUGUAAAGUUCUUUUGCUGGGGAAGAAUAACCGCAGGAGGGAAUGCCUGUGGGAUGACAAGAACCGGCGAAUAAGCCCCGGCCAACUACGUGCCAGCAGCCGCGGUAACACGUAGGGGGGCGAGCGUUGUUCGGAAUUACUGGGCGUAAAGGGCAUGUAGGCGGCUUGGAAAGCCUGGCGUGAAAGUCUGCAGCUUAACUGCAGGGGUGCGCUGGGAACUGCUGAGCUUGAGUGACGGAGAGGGAGCUGGAAUUCCUGGUGUAGGGGUGAAAUCUGUAGAUAUCAGGAAGAACACCGAUGGCGAAGGCAAGCUCCUGGCCGAUGACUGACGCUGAGGUGCGAAAGUGUGGGGAUCAAACAGGAUUAGAUACCCUGGUAGUCCACACAGUCAACGAUGUGCACUAGGUGCUGGGGCGGUAGCUUCGGUGCCGGAGCGAACGUGGUGAAGUGCACCGCCUGGGGAGUAUGCUCGCAAGGGUGAAACUAAAUGAUUGACGGGGUCAUAGCUGUUUCCU
Molecule: ribosomal RNA, 583 nt
Filed under: uncultured bacterium
Lineage: Bacteria
Description: partial 16S ribosomal RNA
Rfam family: Bacterial small subunit ribosomal RNA
Source: RNAcentral